CCUACGGGAGACAGCAGUGGGGGAUAUUGCACAAUGGGGGAAACCCUGAUGCAGCGACGCCGCGUGGGUGAAGAAGCGCCUCGGCGCGUAAAGCCCUGUCAGCAGGGAAGAAAAUGACGGUACCUGAAGAAGAAGCCCCGGCUAACUACGUGCCAGCAGCCGCGGUAAUACGUAGGGGGCAAGCGUUAUCCGGAUUUACUGGGUGUAAAGGGGGCGCAGACGGCGAUGCAAGCCAGGAGUGAAAGCCCGGGGCCCAACCCCGGGACUGCUCUUGGAACUGGGUGGCUAGAGUGCAGGAGGGGCAGGCGGAAUUCCUGGUGUAGCGGUGAAAUGCGUAGAUAUCAGGAGGAACACCGGUGGCGAAGGCGGCCUGCUGGACUGCAACUGACGUUGAGGCCCGAAAGCGUGGGGAGCAAACAGGAUUAGAUACCCCAGUAGUC
Molecule: ribosomal RNA, 440 nt
Filed under: uncultured bacterium
Lineage: Bacteria
Description: partial 16S ribosomal RNA
Rfam family: Bacterial small subunit ribosomal RNA
Source: RNAcentral